CGAACGCUGGCAGCGUGGAUAAGGCAUGCAAGUCGAGCGAUCCCCGCAAGGGGAUAGCGGCAAACGGGUGCGUAACACGUGAGGAAUCUACCCUGAAGAUCGGGAUAACGUCGCGAAAGCGGCGCUAAUACCGGAUAUGCCCACCGCCACCGCAUGGUGGUGUGGGGAAGGCGGGCCUCGACCGCAAGGUUGCUCGUGCUUCAGGAGGACCUCGCGUCCCAUCAGCUAGUUGGUAGGGUGACGGCCUACCAAGGCAUUUGACGGGUAGCUGGCCUGAGAGGGUGGUCAGCCACACUGGGAUUGAGAUACUGCCCAGACUCCUACGGGAGGCUGCAGUCGAGGAUCUUUGGCAAUGGGCGAAAGCCUGACCAUGCGACGCUGCGUGCGGGAUGAAGGCCUUCGGGUCGUAAACCGCUGUUACAGGGAACGAAGGUUCUGAGAGCAAACAGCUGUCAGGAUUUGACGGUACCCUGAGAGAAAGCCACGGCUAACUCCGUGCCAGCAGCCGCGGUGAUACGGAGGUGGCAAGCGUUGCUCGGAUUCACUGGGUGUAAAGGGCAAGUAGGCGGCUUCGUAAGUCGGGUGUGAAAUUCCGUGGCUCAACCAUGGAAACUGCGCCCGAAACUGCGGGGCUUGAGGACAGGAGAGGCGAACGGAAUUCCCGGUGUAAGGGUGAAAUCUGUAGAGAUCGGGAGGAACACCAGUGGCGAAGGGCGGUUCGCUGGACUGUCCCUGACGCUGAGAGGCGAAAGCUAGGGGAGCAAACAGGAUUAGAUACCCUGGUAGUCCUAGCUGUAAACGAUGGGCACUAGGUGAUGGCCCCGUUGGGGGUCAGUGCCGCAGGUAACCCGUUAAGUGCCCCACCUGGGGACUACGGCCGCAAAGUUGAAACUCAAAGGAAUUGGCGGGGGCCAGCACAAGCGGUGGAACAUGUGGUUCAAUUCGAUGCUACGCGAAGAACCUUACCCAGGCUUGACAUGCUUGAAGUAGGAACCUGAAAGGGGGACGACUCGUAACCAGUCGAGAACUUGCACAGGUGCUGCAUGGCUGUCGUCAGCUCGUGCCGUGAGGUGUUGGCUUAAGUGCCAAAACGAGCGCAACCCCUGUCCGUUGUUGCCAACGAGCCCGCAAGGGUGUCGGGAACUCGACGGAGACUGCCAGCGACGAGCUGGAGGAAGGUAGGGAUGACGUCAAGUCCGUACGGCCCUUAUGCCUGGGGCGACACACGUGUUACAAUGGAGUCGACAAUGCGCUGCAACCUCGCGAGGGGAAGCCAAUCGCACAAACGACUCCCCAGUUCAGAUCGCAGGCUGCAACUCGCCUGCGUGAAGCCGGAAUCGCUAGUAACGGCGGGUCAGCUACACCGCCGUGAAUACGUUCCCUGGCCUUGCACACACC
Molecule: ribosomal RNA, 1398 nt
Filed under: uncultured bacterium
Lineage: Bacteria
Description: 16S ribosomal RNA
Rfam family: Bacterial small subunit ribosomal RNA
Source: RNAcentral